RNAcentral lists this ribosomal RNA (1498 nucleotides) under uncultured bacterium. RNAcentral describes it as "16S ribosomal RNA". It matches the Rfam family "Bacterial small subunit ribosomal RNA". The record is from RNAcentral.
AGUUUGAUCCUGGCUCAGGAUGAACGCUGGCGGCAUGCCUAAUACAUGCAAGUCGAACGGAGUGAAGCCUUCGGGUUUCAUUCAGUGGCGAACGGGUGAGUAAUACGCAGGGAACCUGGCCAUGGCAGGGGGAUACACUCUGGAAACGGAGCAUAAGACCCCAUAGGCAGUAAGGCGGCAUCGCCUUACUGUUAAAGAAAGCUGAAAGGCUUUGGCGAUGGAUGGACCUGCGGUGCAUUAGCUUGUUGGUGAGCCAACGGCUUACCAAGGCGAUGAUGCAUAGCCGGCCUGAGAGGGCGGACGGCCACACUGGGACUGAGACACGGCCCAGACUCCUGCGGGAGGCAGCAGUAGGGAAUUUUCGUCAAUGGGCGCAAGCCUGAACGAGCAAUGCCGCGUGAGUGAGGAAGGUCUUCGGACUGUAAAGCUCUGUUGCCGGGGAAAAAGGGGAAAUGCAGGAAAUGGCAUUUCAUGGAUGGUACCCGGCCAGAAAGCCACGGCUAACUACGUGCCAGCAGCCGCGGUAAUACGUAGCUGGCGAGCGUUAUCCGGAAUGAUUGGGCGUAAAGGGUGCGCAGGCGGUCUGUUAAGUCUGAAGGCAAAGGGAUGAGCUCAACUCAUUUAUGAUUCAGAAACUGGCAGACUUGAGGACAGGAGAGGGCGGUGGAACUCCAUGUGUAGCGGUAAAAUGCGCAGAGAUAUGGAAGAACACCAGUGGCGAAGGCGGCCGCCUGGCCUGUGACUGACGCUGAGGCACGAAAGCGUGGGGAGCAAAUAGGAUUAGAUACCCUAGUAGUCCACGCCGUAAACGAUGAGGAGCAGGUGUUGGGAGUGAAAUCUCAGUGCCGAAGCCAACGCAGUGACUCCUCCGCCUGGGGAGUAUGCACGCAAGUGUGAAACUCAAAGGAAUUGACGGGGGCCCGCACAAGCGGUGGAGUAUGUGGUUUAAUUCGAAGCAACGCGAAGAACCUUACCAGGUUUUGACAUCGGAUGCGAAGGCGCAGAGAUGCGCUGGAGGCUAUCAUCCAGACAGGUGGUGCAUGGUUGUCGUCAGCUCGUGUCGUGAGAUGUUCAGUUAAGUCUGGCAACGAGCGCAACCCCCGUGGUAUGUUACUAACGCAUUUGGGCGAGGACUCAUAUCAGACUGCCGGUGACAAACCGGAGGAAGGCGGGGAUGACGUCAAAUCAUCAUGCCCCUUAUGACCUGGGCUACACACGUACUACAAUGGCGUCUACAGAGGGAAGCGACCCUGAGAAGGGAAGCGAAACCGGAAAAGGGCGUCCCAGUUCGGAUUGAAGUCUGCAACCCGACUUCAUGAAGAUGGAAUCGCUAGUAAUCGCGGAUCAGCAUGCCGCGGUGAAUACGUUCCCGGGCCUUGUACACACCGCCCGUCAAACCAUGGAAGCCGGCAACGCCCGAAGCCGGUGGCAUAACCUUUUAGGAGUGAGCCGUCGAAGGCGGGGCCGAUGACUGGGGUUAAGUCGUAACAAGGUACCC